CACGGAUAAUAAUAUUUUGUUAUGUAUUAACUUAUUUGACCUACAGAAGGUGAAGAAUUACCCAAACAGCAUUGUAUACAUUGUUUUAUUUCCUAUGUUCCUAAAUGAUCUGUUCAAAGUUGUUUUAUUUAGAAGCACCUCAACCCACUUCAGAGAAAGCACCACUCAACUGCCCAUACUGCACUGUGUACAAUUAAAACAACAAAAUUAGCCUGUAUAUCAUUUAACACAAAGAAUAAUUACUCUCCUUCUCGUUUUGCUAUAGCAUGACAUAAUACACUGACACUUUGCUAAUUGAUUAUUGACUAAAUGCCUUCUCUGCUUAGGUAGAGCACAGUAUAGACUACAUCUACAGAUUAAUGGAUACAUUUUCUUAAUAUGAUCCAAAAAGGGCUUGACUUAAUAAACAUGUCACUUAGGGAUCAGUCACCUCCCAACAUUUCUACUGUAAUAUUUACUGAUCCCCUAUAUAUAACAAAUAUGCAUUUAUUUGGUGUAACAGUAAUAUGAGAUCUAGAAAUUAACACCUCUAUAUUCUGCAAUUGGACACCUUCGUUUUAGCUCCCUGUCCAUCACUGUUAAAAGCUGUGUCCUGGCAGUAGAGGAACAGAAAGCAGACAGAGGAGAAGAAGAAUUGGACAACCUUUCAAUUUCCCCUCUCAAUUCGCAAUGUGACCCCUAGCUGCAUCUAGACUGAACUGCAUUGCAAUGUCUUUUGUUAAAUCUGUAAAAUAACGCUUAAAAGAAUGGAACAUCAAGUGAAAAAAGUCAACACAAGGAGCAGGUGAUUUUAAUGUUUUACUUAAUAUUGUUAUUGAGAAGUGACAGUUUCCCUUUAAGGGUGUUUAAGAAAAUAUAUUUAUCAAUUUCUAGUUCUGUUUUUCGCAGCAAGAUAUGGCUUU
Non-coding RNA from Pelobates cultripes (western spadefoot toad), 902 nucleotides. NCBI's taxonomy places the organism in Eukaryota, Metazoa, Chordata, Amphibia, Anura, Pelobatidae. The record is from the annotation of a GenBank genome assembly.